RNAcentral lists this ribosomal RNA (253 nucleotides) under uncultured bacterium. RNAcentral's name for it is "partial 16S ribosomal RNA". It matches the Rfam family "Bacterial small subunit ribosomal RNA", at positions 524 to 776 of the family's 1533-position model. The record is from RNAcentral.
UACAGAGGCCUCGAGCGUUAGGCGGAAUCACUGGGCUUAAAGCGUGUGUAGGCGGACUUCUAAGUACCUUGUGAAAUCCCACGGCUUACCCGUGGAACGGCUGGGUAUACUGGGAGUCUUGAGCCACCUAGGGGCGAGUGGAACAAAUGGUGGAGCGGUGAAAUGCGUAGAUAUCAUUUGGAACGCCAACGGAGAAAUCAGCUCGCUGGGGGUGUGCUGACGCUGAGACACGAAAGCCAGGGGAGCGAACGGG